UACGGAGGGAGCAAGCGUUACUCGGAAUUAUCGGGCGUAAAGGGCGCGUAGGCGAUUUGAAAAGUCUUGUGUGAAAGCCCCGAGCUUAACUCGGGAAGUGCACAAGAAACUGUUGAAUUUGAGUUCCGGAGAGGAAGGCAGAAUUCCCGGUGUAGCGGUGAAAUGCGUAGAUAUCGGGAGGAAUACCAGUGGCGAAGGCGGCCUUCUGGACGGAUACUGACGCUGAGGCGCGAAAGCCAGGGGAGCAAACGGG
This 253-nucleotide ribosomal RNA is filed under the name uncultured bacterium. RNAcentral describes it as "partial 16S ribosomal RNA". It matches the Rfam family "Bacterial small subunit ribosomal RNA", at positions 524 to 776 of the family's 1533-position model. The record is from RNAcentral.